Peromyscus eremicus (cactus mouse) is the source of this 1211-nucleotide long non-coding RNA. RefSeq lists it as uncharacterized. The record is from RefSeq and is a predicted model, not a curated record. NCBI's taxonomy places the organism in Eukaryota, Metazoa, Chordata, Mammalia, Rodentia, Cricetidae. The transcript is spliced from 3 exons.
GACUGGUAGGUGUCACUGACAGCACCACACAAAGAGAGGGUGACGGUCCUUGACAUCUGGAGAAGGCAGAUUAUGUCUAUAUAACUUAGGAGACAAGACUUCACAGGAUUCCGUCUUCCGUGUUCCUUCUCAGCUUCCUCAAGAAAACACGGAAAUACACUGCGAUACAUUGGUUGCUGUUAGGUCACAACAGACGAGCUGCCAGAUACAGCCUAAAUGUGACUCGCACUGAGUCACUGGAGUCACCAAGUGUGAACCAGCUUUGAGCUUUCGGUCCUAAUUGUCACAUCUCAAAGAAACCAAAGGCUAGUCUCACUCAGCACCUGUGGAAGCAGUUAUAGAAGAGAUUUUGGUUCCUUAUCAUCAACAAAAGGCUGGAAUACAAGAAAAGAAUUCACUGUUCUAAGAAGAUAAGAAGAUCUUUCUCUACUACAGCUGACCACACGGUGGAGGAAGGUUCAGGAAAGGCCAGGCCACUUCUCUCCUCAUCUUUCUGAAAUGCAAAGAUCUUUUUAAGACGGUCUGCCAUGAUUUGCAUCUUGCCAACUCUGCUCACAACUCAGUUUUCAGUUAGAAGAAAAGCCAAAUUCAGCACACAGUCACGGACACACUGUUCCCAUUGGCAAGAGAGUAACUCGGGCCUCUUCUAGAGUAAGUACCAACCGCCCAAAGCAAGGCAGCACUACCCACCCGUUAUGUCUCACCAGGGGAUGGUUAUUGCAGUGUGAGCCACUUUUUUUUUUAUUGACAAAAGCAAUUUGCCUGAGAGAAAAUAAACGAUGUAAAAAGUAAAACAAAUUAGGAUGUUCCGUAUGCAUAGGAAGUAUUCUAAGAACUGCUCACUGAAUCCUCAUGCACAGUGUUUAUGUGGCGAGUUCAUGCUAUGUACUUUCAUAUAUUGUCUUUUCAUUUCCUGUUUCUGAAGGUAACACCAGAAUCUGGGUUAUUUUCUGUAGCAGGAAAAAAAAUCAUACACAGGUGAAAUUAUUUAUUUUCUUUGUGGAAAAGCUGGUAAAUCUUGUACCUUCCCUAUUAUUACAGAGUUAACUCCCAGGUUCAUUAACACUCUCGGCCACCAAAAUGAACUCAACUCUGGUUCAGAGUAAAUAAAAGCCAUUGACUUCCUGCUACCACAUCCUGCACUGUCCAUCUCCCAGAUUCCUUUCAUCCAUCAUUUCGUCUCCCCAUCUCUCUCCCUCCCACUCUGGGUC